RNAcentral lists this ribosomal RNA (616 nucleotides) under uncultured Lachnospiraceae bacterium. RNAcentral describes it as "bacterial SSU rRNA". It matches the Rfam family "Bacterial small subunit ribosomal RNA", at positions 89 to 723 of the family's 1533-position model. Lineage: Bacteria; Bacillati; Bacillota; Clostridia; Lachnospirales; Lachnospiraceae. The record is from RNAcentral.
GAUUGAGUGGCGGACGGGUGAGUAACGCGUGGGUAACCUACCCUGUACAGGGGGAUAACAGUCAGAAAUGACUGCUAAUACCGCAUAAGACCACAGCACCGCAUGGUGCAGGGGUAAAAACUCCGGUGGUACAGGAUGGACCCGCGUCUGAUUAGCUGGUUGGUGAGGUAACGGCUCACCAAGGCGACGAUCAGUAGCCGGCUUGAGAGAGUGAACGGCCACAUUGGGACUGAGACACGGCCCAAACUCCUACGGGAGGCAGCAGUGGGGAAUAUUGCACAAUGGGGGAAACCCUGAUGCAGCGACGCCGCGUGAGUGAAGAAGUAUCUCGGUAUGUAAAGCUCUAUCAGCAGGGAAGAAAAUGACGGUACCUGACUAAGAAGCCCCGGCUAACUACGUGCCAGCAGCCGCGGUAAUACGUAGGGGGCAAGCGUUAUCCGGAAUUACUGGGUGUAAAGGGUGCGUAGGUGGUAUGGCAAGUCAGAAGUGAAAACCCAGGGCUUAACUCUGGGACUGCUUUUGAAACUGUCAGACUGGAGUGCAGGAGAGGUAAGCGGAAUUCCUAGUGUAGCGGUGAAAUGCGUAGAUAUUAGGAGGAACAUCAGUGGCGAAGGCG